AUUAAAAAAAGAAAACAAGUAACGAAUAAAUUGCAGCCGAGUUUUUGGUUCGCUUGCUCAUCUUCUGCUCAUUAAAAAAAACUUUCGUAACGUCUGCUUCUUAAGAGAUCGAGCCAGGUGAACAGAACAAGUUUGUAAAUUGCAAUUUAACUUGCAGAAUAAACAAAUAGUUUCAAAACUUGUGACCGAAGGCUAAAAGUAGAAAAGUUGUAAUAUAAAAUGGGAAUAUGCGGAAUAAUUGCUAUGAGCAUCGUGUGCGCAGUAUGCUGUACUUGGUUUUUGUGGGUGUGGUCAAACGAAUUAAAAAGAAAAUAUAAGAACGAAAAUUAAGUCUUAAAAGAAUGCAAGAAAUUGUAGUUAAAAUAUAAUCAAA
Molecule: long non-coding RNA, 373 nt
Organism: Hydra vulgaris (swiftwater hydra)
Lineage: Eukaryota; Metazoa; Cnidaria; Hydrozoa; Anthoathecata; Hydridae
Source: RefSeq, a predicted model, not a curated record